AGGCUUUUAAAACCAAGGACGGCUUUCUCGUAAUUGCAGCAGGAAAUAACCAACAAUUUGCUACUGUGUGCAAGAUCUUGAAUUUGCCUGAGUUGAUUGAUGACUCCAAGUAUAAGACUAACCACCUUCGGGUACAGAAUAGAAAAGAGCUUAUUAAAAUACUAUCUACACGGUUUGAAGAAGAAACGACCAGCAAAUGGUUACACCUCUUUGAAGGCAGUGGGGUCCCGUAUGGCCCAAUCAACAACAUGAAGAGUGUAUUUGCAGAACC
Molecule: long non-coding RNA, 271 nt
Organism: Galeopterus variegatus (Sunda flying lemur)
Lineage: Eukaryota; Metazoa; Chordata; Mammalia; Dermoptera; Cynocephalidae
Exons: 3
Source: RefSeq, a predicted model, not a curated record